This 433-nucleotide ribosomal RNA is filed under the name uncultured bacterium. RNAcentral's name for it is "partial 16S ribosomal RNA". It matches the Rfam family "Bacterial small subunit ribosomal RNA", at positions 29 to 507 of the family's 1533-position model. The record is from RNAcentral.
AACGAACGCUGGCGGCAUGCCUAACACAUGCAAGUCGAACGAGACCUUCGGGUCUAGUGGCGCACGGGUGCGUAACGCGUGGGAACCUGCCCUUAGGUUCGGAAUAACUCCCCGAAAGGGGUGCUAAUACCGGAUAAUGUCUUCGGACCAAAGAUUUAUCGCCUUUGGAUGGGCCCGCGUUGGAUUAGCUAGUUGGUAGGGUAAAAGCCUACCAAGGCGACGAUCCAUAGCUGGUCUGAGAGGAUGAUCAGCCACACUGGGACUGAGACACGGCCCAGACUCCUACGGGAGGCAGCAGUGGGGAAUAUUGGACAAUGGGCGAAAGCCUGAUCCAGCAAUGCCGCGUGAGUGAUGAAGGCCUUAGGGUUGUAAAGCUCUUUUACACGGGAUGAUAAUGACAGUACCGGGAGAAUAAGCGCCGGCUAACUCCGUG